GGAGGAGCUGGGGCUGGGCGGGGCCACGGCCGUGGGAAUGAUCCAGAACCUUCUGGAAUGGCUGCACCUGGAGCUGGGGCUGCCCUGCUGGGGGGCCAUCGCCGCAGGCACGGUGGGGGCCCGCCUCCUCCUGCUGCCCCUGGUGCUGCGGGGCCAGCGCGAGGCCGCCCGCCUCUCCCGCCACCUCCCCCAGCUCCAGCGCCUCUCCCAGCGCCUGGCCGAGGCGCGCCGCGGCGCCGACGCCAACCAGGUGGCCGUGGCUUACUCGGAGCUGGUGUCGUACCAGCGGCGCCACGACGUGAAUCCGCUCCGGGGUUUCCUGGUGCCCCUCGUGCAGACCCCCCUUUUUGUCUCUUUUUUCCUGGCCCUGCAGGGGAUGGCGGCGGCGCCGGUGCCGUGGUUCCUGCAGGGGGGGAUGGCUUGGUUCCCCAAUUUGGCGGCCCCCGACCCCCUGUACGUGCUGCCCGUGCUGGUCACAGCCUCCACCUGGCUCGUCCUGGAGCUGGGGGCCGAGACGGGCGUGGCCGCGCCGGGGGCGGGGCCUGUCCGUCAAAUCCUGAGGUUCCUCCCCCUCGUCUUCCUGCCCUUCAUCAUCCACUUCCCCACCGUGAGUCGGGGGCGGGGCUUCCUCAAAAGGGGGCGUGGCCAUUGAAAAAUGGGGCGAGGUCGCUUUAAAAGGGGGUGUGGCCUCUUUAAAUGGGGUCCUGUCCCUUUUAGCGUGGGCGUGGUCGCUUUAAAAGGGCGUGGCCAUUUCAAAAUGGGGCGUGGCCACUUUAAAAGGGGCGUGGCCACUUUAAAAGGGGGCGUGGCCACAUUAAAUGUUGGCGGGGUCACUUUAAGAGGGGCGUGUCCUCCCUUAAAAGCGGCGUGGCCAUUCUAAAUGAGCCUGUGGUCCCUUUAAAAAGGGGCGUGGCCGCUUUCAAAUGGGGUGU
RNAcentral lists this long non-coding RNA (932 nucleotides) under Cyanistes caeruleus (blue tit). RNAcentral describes it as "lncRNA (ENSCCEG00000018503.1)". The record is from RNAcentral. Lineage: Eukaryota; Metazoa; Chordata; Aves; Passeriformes; Paridae.